This 259-nucleotide ribosomal RNA is filed under the name uncultured bacterium. RNAcentral's name for it is "partial 16S ribosomal RNA". It matches the Rfam family "Bacterial small subunit ribosomal RNA", at positions 96 to 353 of the family's 1533-position model. The record is from RNAcentral.
UGGCGGACGGGUGAGUAACGCGUGGGUAACCUGCCCUGUACAGGGGGAUAACAGCUGGAAACGGCUGCUAAUACCGCAUAAGCGCACGAGGAGACAUCUCCUUGUGUGAAAAACUCCGGUGGUACAGGAUGGGCCCGCGUCUGAUUAGCUGGUUGGCAGGGUAACGGCCUACCAAGGCAACGAUCAGUAGCCGGUCUGAGAGGAUGAACGGCCACAUUGGAACUGAGACACGGCCCAAACUCCUACGGGAGGCAGCAUG